Molecule: long non-coding RNA, 406 nt
Organism: Oncorhynchus tshawytscha (Chinook salmon)
Lineage: Eukaryota; Metazoa; Chordata; Actinopteri; Salmoniformes; Salmonidae
Source: Ensembl
GGCGGCAGGGUAGCCUAGUGGUUAGAGUGUAGAGGCGGCAGGGUAGCCUAGUGGUUAGAGUGUAGGGGCGGCAGGUAGCCUAGUGGUUAGAGUGUGGAGGAGGCAGGGUAGCCUAGUGGUUAGAGUGUAGAGGCGGCAGGGUAGCCUAGUGGUUAGAGUGUAGGGCCGGCAGGUAGCCUAGUGGUUAGAGUGUAGAGGAGGCAGGGUAGCCUAGUGGUUAGAGUGUAGAGGUGGCAGGGUAGCCUAGUGGUUAGAGUGUAGAGGCGGCAGGAAGUCUAGUGGUUAGAGUGUAGAGGCGGCAGGGUAGCCUAGUGGUUAGAGUGUAGAGGCGGCAGGGUAGCCUAGUGGUUCGAGUGUACGACUAGUAACCGGAAGGUUGCAAGUUCCUAGGCAUUGUUCCAAGGCC